ACAAACUUGGUCAUUUAGAGGAAGUAAAAGUCGUAACAAGGUCUCCGUAGGUGAACCUGCGGAGGGAUCAUUACUGAGUGAGGGCUCACGCCCGACCUCCAACCCUUUGUGAACACAUCUUGUUGCUUCGGGGGCGACCCUGCCGGCACUUUGUCGCCGGGCGCCCCCGGAGGUCUUCAAACACUGCAUCAUUGCGUCGGAGUUUAAACAAAUUAAACAAAACUUUCAACAACGGAUCUCUUGGUUCUGGCAUCGAUGAAGAACGCAGC
Molecule: unclassified non-coding RNA, 269 nt
Filed under: uncultured fungus
Lineage: Eukaryota; Fungi
Description: partial contains small subunit ribosomal RNA, internal transcribed spacer 1, and 5.8S ribosomal RNA
Rfam family: Eukaryotic small subunit ribosomal RNA (bases 1-73)
Source: RNAcentral